This 429-nucleotide ribosomal RNA is filed under the name uncultured Legionellaceae bacterium. RNAcentral's name for it is "bacterial SSU rRNA". It matches the Rfam family "Bacterial small subunit ribosomal RNA", at positions 355 to 776 of the family's 1533-position model. The record is from RNAcentral. Lineage: Bacteria; Pseudomonadati; Pseudomonadota; Gammaproteobacteria; Legionellales; Legionellaceae.
UGGGGAAUAUUGGACAAUGGGGGCAACCCUGAUCCAGCAAUGCCGCGUGUGUGAAGAAGGCCUGAGGGUUGUAAAGCACUUUCAGUGGGGAGGAGGAUUGACAGGUUAAGAGCUAGUUAAUUGGACGUUACCCACAGAAGAAGCACCGGCUAACUCCGUGCCAGCAGCCGCGGUAAUACGGAGGGUGCAAGCGUUAAUCGGAAUUACUGGGCGUAAAGCGUGCGUAGGUGGUUGGAUAAGUUAUCUGUGAAAUCCCUGGGCUCAACCUGGGCAGGUCAGAUAAGACUGUUUAACUAGAGUAUAGGAGAGGGUAGUGGAAUUUCCGGUGUAGCGGUGAAAUGCGUAGAGAUCGGAAGGAACACCAGUGGCGAAGGCGACUACCUGGCCAGAUACUGACACUGAGGCACGAAAGCGUGGGGAGCAAACAGG